UCCGGCUUGUCGCCGGCGGUCCCUCUAGAGUGCCCAACUGAAUGAUGGCAACUAAAGGCGAGGGUUGCGCUCGUUGCGGGACUUAACCCAACAUCUCACGACACGAGCUGACGACAGCCAUGCAGCACCUGUACAAGUUCGCCUUGCGGCACCCUGACUUUCAUCAGGAUUAACUUGCGUUUCAAGCCUAGGUAAGGUUCUUCGCGUUGCGUCGAAUUAAACCACAUGCUCCACUGCUUGUGCGGGCCCCCGUCAAUUCCUUUGAGUUUCAACCUUGCGAUUGUACUUCCCAGGUGGAAUACUUAAUGCGUUAGCUUGGAUACUGAUUUAAAAAAAAACCAACAUCUAGUAGACAUAGUUUAGGGCGUGGACUAC
This 375-nucleotide unclassified non-coding RNA is filed under the name uncultured bacterium. RNAcentral describes it as "contains 16S-23S intergenic spacer region". The record is from RNAcentral.